UACGGAGGGUGCGAGCGUUGUCCGGAAUCACUGGGCGUAAAGGGCGCGUAGGCGGCUUGAUAAGGUUGCGGUGAAAGCCCGGGGCUCAACCCCGGGUCGGCCGUGGCAACUGUCGAGCUGGAGCACUGUAGAGGCAGGUGGGAUUCCGGGUGUAGCGGUGGAAUGCGUAGAGAUCCGGAAGAACACCGGUGGCGAAGGCGGCCUGCUGGGCAGUGGCUGACGCUGAGGCGCGACAGCGUGGGGAGCAAACAGG
This 253-nucleotide ribosomal RNA is filed under the name uncultured bacterium. Its description in RNAcentral is "partial 16S ribosomal RNA". It matches the Rfam family "Bacterial small subunit ribosomal RNA", at positions 524 to 776 of the family's 1533-position model. The record is from RNAcentral.